AAGAAAGAGCAUAGUAGUCACAUUGUUGGAUAUUAUAAAUGGUUCUAUAGCUGUUCUGAGUUGAUGGUGUGGAUAAAUAUUAUUUUCUUCACAAAGUGUGGCGGCAGUCACCACAUUGUCUUCAAUCGUGUUUUAUGUUUCUGGUGGAUUCCUAAAGCAAUAUUGGCAGUUUUGUAUUUGAUGACAAAGAUUUCAUCAUUUAAGGUUUCAAUUUGCAUCACGGAAAGCUUAGUUGUUCUCUUGAAUAUCUCAUUUGGCAUAGCCAUCAUGUGAUAAGGAUAAAGAGACCAUCUUACAAAAACAGUUUUUUGGAGGAUCCACUUCUUUCGAAUGGUGUGGUAAAACAAUUAGAUUCUGAUGACCUAUUGCCACCACCGACUGAUAUGGGUCCUUCUUCCUGUCAUGAUGUGAUUUUGUCCUGGUGGCAAGCUCAACUGAGUAACAAUGGCUCUAAUCUAUCUUUGUUUAGAGCACUCUGUAGUGCAUAUGGAUGGCCAUACCUCUGCCAGGGUUUAUUGAAGGUAUUUUUCAAUACGAAAUCGUGUUUUCCUCCCACACACUGGAUAAAUCUUAGUUGAUGGAAACCAAAGCUUGUGCGUCACUCUGUAGUCUUUAUACGCAAUAUUUAUACCAUAUGACUGUGAUGGACUGCUGGAAUAUAACUCGUCCAAGUAAUACCUUCUUCAACACUUUCAUAUUUCCAAUUCCAACAUGGGAUUCUAACUUUUUCUGUGGAGAUGCAAGUUAGCCUUUUUAUCUUCAAAUGAAAGGAAAUUUAAUGCCUGUCCAGUAACUCAGUAAGUUUAUGUGUACAGAAGAUGCUUUUUGUUUUGAACUAUGCAUUGAUUCCUGUAACAAGCUAUGGUUCAAGGGCUAUCAAUCAAAUAGUGGUAGUUUCCCAACUAAUCUGAUAGAUAACUGAUUGUUUAUGUACCUAGAAAUUUCGGUUGUGCCACUAGAAAAUAUAUUGAUGGUAUGACAUCGUGCAUGACAUAGCAUGUUUUACUUGUACCUUGACAUCUUUAUUAGAACAAUAUGACCAUUUUCAAUUUUUAAAUAAGUAGAGAAUUUUGGAUAGUUUGUAUAUAGAAUCCCAUGG
Vigna radiata var. radiata (mung bean) is the source of this 1099-nucleotide long non-coding RNA. RefSeq lists it as uncharacterized. The transcript is spliced from 4 exons. Lineage: Eukaryota; Viridiplantae; Streptophyta; Magnoliopsida; Fabales; Fabaceae. The record is from RefSeq and is a predicted model, not a curated record.